RNAcentral lists this long non-coding RNA (360 nucleotides) under Cucumis sativus (cucumber). RNAcentral's name for it is "long non-coding RNA (CSAT_LNC001336)". The record is from RNAcentral. Lineage: Eukaryota; Viridiplantae; Streptophyta; Magnoliopsida; Cucurbitales; Cucurbitaceae.
GACAACGUCGAUCGAAUGCUUCAAAUGCUGAUAAAUCGAAGUGGAGGGUCACUUCGCAAGCUCUGCGUUACUGGUCUUCAUAACAGCAGCAUUUUCUUCUCCAUCGCUGAUCAGUAAGAAAUUAAAUUUUUGUGGAUAUGAGUUAAAUUGAAUUUUAAUGCCAUGACGCAUUUUUUGCCUUAACAAAUAUAAUAUAAUAUAUAUAUAUAUUUACGUACUUGCUAUGAACAAGAUUUGGUAUAACUGCUCAUGAAGGCCUUGGGUUGGUGCUGACUGUGGAUUUGGUUUGUUAAAAUGGACUAUUUUGUGAUGUUGGUGUUUUGUUUGUGUAUUGCUUUUUUCAAGUGCUGGUUCUCUUCA